GGUACUGCUAGCUUUUGGUAGUUUUGGUUAGUACUUGUAGCAGCAGUUGAGGUGUGGAUCCUUACUUCGAAGCAAAUUUUUGGUGCUUGCAAAGCAUAUAAAUGAACUAAGGUAGCUGAAUUUACUAGCCAGAAGACAAUGUUUGGAAGCUUAGGCAGUAAAUAUUAGGCAGAAGACAAUGCGACCACAGAUAUAAUUCAUAGCGCCACUCCAUUGAUACAAUGCUGAAAUAUUAGGAAGUAAAUAUGUAUCCUCAUUGUAUGCCAAUCAAAGGAAGCAGGACAAGGGGGCUGAUAGCAUGAAACAUAAACACAAUCACAAGUGGCCUGAUGAUCAACUUCAAGGCAAAUAAUGAUAAUUUUCUUACAAGCAAAUGAUGAUCAUCAGUAGGUUUAGUUUGAGAUACCUGGUUUCAUUUGGUUUAAAGAAUUCAGACAUGAUUCCGAAUGCCGGGUUUUAUUUCUGUAGUAUUUUGCACUAAAAAUACAUGUCUUAUUUCUGGCUCUCUCUGGAGUACUCUUUGUUCAUCUGUAUUUCUUUUUGAUGCAUCUGUAUAUUCUUUUUGGUGCAUGAUGAGUAAUGAAUUUGUUUGUCUAUAUAUUUUUUUGAUGCAUGAUGAGAAACGGGAUGUGUGCUGCUGGCAGGAUUGUCGAAACCAAAGGGAAUAGGCUGUGCCAGAUCUGACCACAAAACUCAGCAGGAUGAUCAAAAGAAUGAUGAAGAGGCCUUUAGGAUAUUACUCCGGAGUAGUGCAAAUGACAUAUCUGAUGCCUGCAUCUGUCAGUGUUGAAUCGUUGUCUGUUGUUGAUCUUACCAUGGAAGAGGAAAAUCUGAAACUUGGGCUCUGUGGACUGGCGAGCCUAACGUUGCCUGAUAUGUUGAUCUGGGCAACUCUGAAGAAAAUGAUGCAGAAGUCUGUUGUUGACUAUGCUGAAAAAAUCUAGGCUAGACGUCUUAUUUAUCCAAUGCAAGGCUGGGCAGUGGAUUUCAAGAACUUGUCUCUAAAUGAGGAGGGUAUUCUGGUGUUUGA
Lolium rigidum is the source of this 1030-nucleotide long non-coding RNA. RefSeq lists it as uncharacterized. NCBI's taxonomy places the organism in Eukaryota, Viridiplantae, Streptophyta, Magnoliopsida, Poales, Poaceae. The transcript has 2 exons. The record is from RefSeq and is a predicted model, not a curated record.